This 591-nucleotide ribosomal RNA is filed under the name uncultured bacterium. RNAcentral describes it as "bacterial SSU rRNA". It matches the Rfam family "Bacterial small subunit ribosomal RNA", at positions 334 to 917 of the family's 1533-position model. The record is from RNAcentral.
UACUCCUACGGGAGGCAGCAGUGGGGAAUUUUGGACAAUGGGCGCAAGCCUGAUCCAGCCAUGCCGCGUGUCUGAAGAAGGCCUUCGGGUUGUAAAGGACUUUUGUCAGGGAAGAAAAGGACAGGGUUAAUACCCCUGUUUGAUGACGGUACCUGAAGAAUAAGCACCGGCUAACUACGUGCCAGCAGCCGCGGUAAUACGUAGGGUGCGAGCGUUAAUCGGAAUUACUGGGCGUAAAGCGAGCGCAGACGGUUACUUAAGCAGGAUGUGAAAUCCCCGGGCUCAACCUGGGAACUGCGUUCUGAACUGGGUGACUAGAGUGUGUCAGAGGGAGGUAGAAUUCCACGUGUAGCAGUGAAAUGCGUAGAGAUGUGGAGGAAUACCGAUGGCGAAGGCAGCCUCCUGGGAUAACACUGACGUUCAUGCUCGAAAGCGUGGGUAGCAAACAGGAUUAGAUACCCUGGUAGUCCACGCCCUAAACGAUGUCAAUUAGCUGUUGGGCAACUUGAUUGCUUAGUAGCGUAGCUAACGCGUGAAAUUGACCGCCUGGGGAGUACGGUCGCAAGAUUAAAACUCAAAGGAAUUGACGGA